GGCCCACCAGCUAGCUCAAACCCUUUGAAUGUAACAAUUAACCAUUAAUUAACCUCUGAUAGCUUAACACAUUACUGAGCCAAACCAUUCUACCACCUAAGUAUGGGAGACAGAAAAG
This 118-nucleotide ribosomal RNA is filed under the name Ostorhinchus ishigakiensis. RNAcentral describes it as "partial 16S ribosomal RNA". Lineage: Eukaryota; Metazoa; Chordata; Actinopteri; Kurtiformes; Apogonidae. The record is from RNAcentral.